CCUACGGGAUGCAGCAGUGGGGAAUAUUGGACAAUGGGGGGAACCCUGAUCCAGCGACGCCGCGUGAGUGAAGAAGUAUUUCGGUAUGUAAAGCUCUAUCAGCAGGGAAGAAAGAAAUGACGGUACCUGACUAAGAAGCCCCGGCUAACUACGUGCCAGCAGCCGCGGUAAAACGUAGGGGGCAAGCGUUAUCCGGAUUUACUGGGUGUAAAGGGAGCGUAGACGGCGAUGCAAGUCUGAAGUGAAAGGCGGGGGACCAACCCCCGGACUGCUUUGGAAACUGUAUGGCUGGAGUGCAGGAGAGGUAAGUGGAAUUCCUAGUGUAGCGGUGAAAUGCGUAGAUAUUAGGAGGAACACCAGUGGCGAAGGCGGCUUACUGGACUGUAACUGACGUUGAGGCUCGAAAGCGUGGGGAGCAAACAGGAUUAGAUACCCCAGUAGUC
RNAcentral lists this ribosomal RNA (443 nucleotides) under uncultured bacterium. RNAcentral describes it as "partial 16S ribosomal RNA". It matches the Rfam family "Bacterial small subunit ribosomal RNA", at positions 338 to 795 of the family's 1533-position model. The record is from RNAcentral.